This 222-nucleotide ribosomal RNA is filed under the name Dinophysis acuminata. RNAcentral describes it as "partial Bacterial small subunit ribosomal RNA". It matches the Rfam family "Bacterial small subunit ribosomal RNA", at positions 34 to 253 of the family's 1533-position model. The record is from RNAcentral. Lineage: Eukaryota; Dinophyceae; Dinophysales; Dinophysaceae.
CGCUAGCGGCAGGCCUAACACAUGCAAGUCGAGGGGCAGCAUAUCUAGCUUGCUAGAUGAUGGCGACCGGCGCACGGGUGCGUAACGCGUAUACAAUCUACCUAUUACUGAGGUAUAGCCCGAAGAAAUUUGGAUUAACACCUCAUAGUAUUACUAAGUCGCAUGACUUAAUAAUUAAAGGUUACGGUAAUAGAUGAGUAUGCGUCCUAUUAGCUAGAUGGU